Molecule: ribosomal RNA, 406 nt
Filed under: uncultured bacterium
Lineage: Bacteria
Description: partial 16S ribosomal RNA
Rfam family: Bacterial small subunit ribosomal RNA
Source: RNAcentral
AUUGAACGCUGGCGGCAGGCCUAACACAUGCAAGUCGAGCGAGCGGCGGACGGGUGAGAAACGUCUGGGACCUUGCUUGAAGGCUGGGGUUAACUAAUGAAAACGGUAGCUAUUCCCGCAUAGCAGUCGCUGUGAGCAGGUGGGAAUAGCUAGUAGGUGGGGUAAUGGCUCACCUAGGCGACGAUCCCUAGCUGGUCUGAGAGGAUGAACAGCCACACUGGAACUGAGACACGGUCCAGACUCCUACGGGAGGCAGCAGUGGGGAAUAUUGCACAAUGGGCGCAAGCCUGAUACAGCCAUGCCGCGUGUGUGAAGAAGGCCUUCGGGUUGUAAAUCACUUUCAGCGGGGAGGCGUUACUCGCAGAAGAAGCACCGGCUAACUCCGUGCCAGCAGCCGCGGUAAUUC